AAAGAAGCGAAAAAGACCCAGAUAGACAGAAAGAGAGAAAAAGCAAUGGCGAUGGCAGAUUUGUUUAUCCCUCGAACCUCUCCGCUCUUAAGAAAUAUAAAGCAAAAGCACUCACAAAAGCUCCUCCAAAACAAAACAAAACAAAAACACUUCCAAUUCCUUUCUUGCUUUGAGAGCAAAACCCACUUUGCCCCACUCUUCUCCCAAAGUAUCUCCACACCCUUCUCUACAUAAAACCCUCCCAAAAAAAUGACACCUCUCAUUUUCAUCAGAAUCAGUGAGGAGACUAGUAUUGAAGGAAAUGGCGAGCUCGAGCGGGACCAAGGCGGUGGACUCGUCGGGGCCGCAGAGGUCGCUGUCGAGGGGGAUGACGAGAAUGUCUACUAGAGUUGUGGACUUUCCGACGGAGGGCGACGAUGCUCUGGACAGUGGAGUUGUGCCCUCCUGCCUUGCUUCUAUUGCUCCCAUUUUCAGGGUUGCCAAUGAGAUUGAGAAGGACAACCCUAGGGUUGCUUAUCUAUGCCGCUUCCAUGGAUUUGAAAAGGCGCAUAAAAUGGAUCCAACAUCAAGUGGACGGGGAGUUCGUCAGUUUAAGACUCAUCUUCUGCACAGACUCGAAAAGGACGAACGAGAUACAAAACAUCAGGUUGCUAAAUCUGAUACAAACGAAAUCAAGUUGUACUACCACGAAUUCUAUGAAAAAAAUAUCAAAGAUGGAGAAUAUACAAAGAAACCGGAAGAGAUGGCCAGGAAUUGUCAGAUUGCAACUGUACUGUACGAUGUGCUUAGGACAGUGGUACCUGCCAAUCAGAUAGACAAACAGAGCCAGAAAAUUGCUGAAGACGUCAAGAGAAAAGGGAGCAGUAUGUAAACUAUAACAUUCUUCCGUUAUAUACUGUCGGGGUUAAACCAGCAGUUAUGGAACUUCCUGAGAUCAAAGCAGCGCUCCGUGCUCUACAGAAUGUGGAUAAUCUUCCAAUGCCAAGAAUGCAUUUUAAACCCACGAAUCCUGAUGACAAGUCGACAAUGCCUACAGAGAGGAUUAAACCUGUGAAUGAUAUACUUGAUUGGCUUUCCGCUAUUUUUGGGUUUCAGAAAGGAAAUGUGGCAAAUCAGAGGGAACAUCUAAUUUUGCUACUUGCCAACAUUGAUGUAAGACAUAGAAGUCUUGAGAACUACACUGAGUUGAAUAGUGCCACUGUACAACAUUUGAUGGAGAAAUUUUUUAAGAACUACCGCUCGUGGUAUAACUAUCUGCACUCUAAAUCAAAUCUUCGGUUCCCUGAAGGUUUUCACAGACAACAAUUGGAACUUAUAUACAUUGCGCUCUAUCUGCUCAUAUGGGGUGAAGCUUCAAAUGUCCGAUUCAUGCCUGAAUGCUUGUGCUACAUUUUCCAUAAUAUGGCAAAUGAAGUCUAUGGAAUUUUAAAUAGCAAUGCUCAUCAUGUUAGUGGAGAAACAUACCAAACAGUAGCACAUGAUGAAGAAUCUUUUCUGAGGGAUGUUAUAGCUCCUAUCUACGGGGUUUUGUUCAAGGAAGCAAAGAGAAACAAAUUGGGCAAGGCAAGUCAUUCAAGAUGGAGAAAUUAUGAUGAUCUGAAUGAAUACUUCUGGUCGGACAAAUGUUUUAAGCUAGGGUGGCCGAUGGAUCCUAAAGCAGAUUUCUUUAGGCAUUCGGAUGUGAGACAACCAGCAAAUGAGAGGACAAAUCAAGCUACUGGUGGUAGGAGGAAGCCUAAAACAAAUUUUGUAGAAGUUCGAACCUUUUUGCAUCUCUACAGAAGUUUUGAUCGAAUGUGGAUAUUCUUCAUAUUGGCUUUACAGGCUAUGAUUAUUGUUGCAUGGGGUCCUUCUGGAUAUGUCACUUCAAUAUUUGAUGCGGCUGUCUUCAAAAGUGUGUUAAGCAUCUUCAUGACAUACGCUUUCCUGAAUUUAUUACAAGCCACUUUGGACAUAAUUCUCAGUUGGAAUGCAUGGAAGAGCUUGAAAUUCACUCAAAUACUACGAUACCUUUUGAAAUUUGCAGUAGCUGUUGUCUGGGCUGUGGUGCUGCCUAUUGGUUAUUCAAGUUCUAUGCAGAAUCCUACAGGGCUUCUGAAAUUCUUCAGUAGUUGGACUCGGGAUUGGCGUAAUCAAUCAUUUUAUAAUUAUGCUGUUGCAAUCUAUAUGGUUCCUAAUAUAUUGGCUGCUAUGCUAUUUUUUCUUCCACCUUUACGGAGGCACAUAGAGCGUUCCAACUGGCGCAUUGUCACUCUUUUUAUGUGGUGGGCUCAGCCAAAACUGUAUGUCGGAAGAGGAAUGCAUGAGGAUGUCUUCUCACUGCUGAAAUAUACAUUGUUCUGGAUCAUGCUGCUAAUCAGCAAGCUUGCAUUCAGCUAUUAUGUGGAGAUAUCGCCGCUUGUUGCACCAACAAAGUUGAUAAUGGAUAUGUCUAUCACUAAUUAUCAAUGGCAUGAGUUCUUUCCUAAUGCAACUCAUAAUAUUGGUGUUGUCAUUGCAAUAUGGGCUCCAAUUGUCUUAGUAUACUUUAUGGAUGCACAAAUAUGGUAUGCAAUAUUUUCUACUCUGUUCGGUGGGAUUCACGGAGCCUUCAGCCAUUUGGGGGAGAUACGAACACUUGGGAUGUUGCGGUCCAGAUUUGAGUCUGUGCCUUCAGCUUUCAGUGAUCGGCUUAUGCCAUCAUCAGAAAUUAAGGAUGCCAAAAAGAAGAAACACUUGGUGGUACUAUCCAUCUCCAGUGUUUUCACACUUGAUGUUUCUGUUGUCCAGUGGCCCCCUUUCUUGCUUGCUAGCAAGAUUCCGAUAGCAUUAGACAUGGCAAAGGAUUUUACGGGGAAGUCGGAUGAGGAUUUAUUCAAGAAGAUUAUGAAUGAUGAUUAUAUGUACUCGGCAGUGAUUGAAUGCUACGAGACACUCAGGGAUAUUAUAUUUGGCCUUCUUGAAGAUGAGGCCGAUAAGAUGAUUGUAAGGCAGAUAUGUUAUGAAGUAGACAGCAGUAUACAGCAGCAGAAGUUUUUGUUUAAUUUCCGGAUGAGUGGGCUGCCAUUUCUUAGUGAGAGGUUGGAGAAGUUUCUUAAACUCUUGCUAGCUGAAGAUGAGAAUGUCGAUAAUUACUUGCGUCAGAUAAUCAAUGUCCUUCAAGAUAUCAUGGAGAUUAUAACACAGGAUGUAAUGAUGAAUGGCCAUGAAAUUCUUGAAGAAGCUCACUACAUAGAGGGUCAAAAUGUCAAGAAGGAGCAAAGGUUUGAAAAAAUCAACAUAUACCUUGCACAAAAUCCAUCUUGGAGAGAGAAGGUUGUUAGGCUUCAUUUGCUUUUGACCGUCAAGGAAUCUGCCAUCAAUGUGCCCCAAAACUUGGAUGCUCGCAGGCGCAUUACUUUCUUUGCGAACUCUCUAUUCAUGAACAUGCCAAAUGCUCCCAAAGUUCGUGACAUGCUCUCCUUUAGUGUUCUGACUCCUUAUUACAAAGAAGAUGUUCUGUAUUCUGAUGAUGAACUUAACAAGGAAAAUGAGGAUGGAAUCUCAAUCUUGUUCUACCUGCAGAAGAUAUAUCCUGAUGAAUGGACAAAUUUCCAGGACCGCAUAAAUGAACAUAAGAAUGAGUACUCUGACAAGGACAAGUCGGAGUUAAUUCGCCAGUGGGUAUCUUACAGGGGACAGACACUUUCUAGAACAGUGAGAGGAAUGAUGUACUAUAGGAAGGCUCUAGACCUUCAAUGUAUCCUGGAAACAGCAGGAGAUGGUGGUGUUUAUGGAGGCUACCCAGCCCAGAUAUUAAGUGAAAUUGAUGAGAAGGAUAUUCUUGAUCGGGCACAAGCUCUGGCAGAUUUGAAGUUCACUUAUGUAGUUUCUUGUCAAAUCUACGGUGAACAGAAGAAAUCCAGUGAAAGUCGUGACAAAAGUUGUUACACAAAUAUUCUCAAGCUGAUGUUAACGUAUCCUUCUCUACGGGUUGCUUACAUAGAUACAAGAGAGGAGACAGUGAAUGGAAAAUCCCAAAAGAUUUAUUUUUCUGUGCUGGUCAAGGGAGGGGACAAAUGGGAUGAGGAAAUAUACCGCAUCAAGCUUCCAGGUCCUCCAACAGUAAUUGGUGAAGGAAAACCUGAAAAUCAAAACCAUGCCAUCGUCUUUACUCGUGGAGAAGCCCUGCAAACCAUUGACAUGAAUCAGGAUAAUUAUUUUGAGGAAGCUUUCAAAAUGAGAAAUGUAUUGGAGGAAUUCCGAAAGCCCCGACGGGGGCAGCGGAAACCUACGAUAUUGGGUCUAAGGGAACAUAUUUUUACUGGAAGUGUUUCAUCACUUGCUUGGUUCAUGUCCAAUCAAGAAACUAGUUUUGUCACUAUAGGCCAACGAAUUUUGGCAAAUCCACUGAGGGUACGGUUUCAUUAUGGCCAUCCGGAUAUUUUUGACAGACUCUUCCACAUAACAAGGGGUGGCAUAAGCAAAGCAUCGAAAGUAAUUAACUUAAGCGAGGAUAUAUUUUCAGGUUACAAUUCUGUUCUGCGUGGGGGAUUUAUAACACAUCAUGAGUAUAUCCAAGUAGGCAAGGGGCGUGAUGUUGGAAUGAAUCAAAUAUCACUUUUCGAGGCUAAAGUUGCAAAUGGGAAUGGAGAGCAGACACUUAGCCGUGAUGUUUAUAGGCUUGGGCGUCGGUUUGAUUUCUAUAGAAUGCUGUCCUUUUACUUCACAACAGUUGGGUUCUAUUUUAGUAGCAUGGUAACUGUGCUGACUGUCUAUGUGUUUUUGUAUGGACGUCUAUAUAUGGUUAUGAGUGGAUUGGAAAGUGAGAUCCUGGAUAGCCCAGCCAUACAUCAGACCAAGGCUUUUGAAGAAGCUCUGGCUACACAGUCUGUCUUUCAACUGGGGUUGUUGCUGGUCCUCCCCAUGGUUAUGGAAAUUGGUCUGGAGAAAGGAUUUCGCACUGCCUUGGGUGAUUUCAUCAUCAUGCAGCUGCAGCUGGCUUCUGUUUUCUUCACUUUCCAACUAGGAACAAAAGCACAUUAUUACGGAAGGACAAUCUUACAUGGUGGAUCUAAAUAUAGAGCAACUGGCCGUGGUUUUGUGGUUUUUCAUGCAAAGUUUGCCGAUAACUACAGGCUGUACUCAAGAAGUCACUUUGUGAAAGGGUUGGAGCUGUUGAUUCUGCUGAUUGUAUAUGGAGUCUACGGGAAUGCUUAUAGGAGUUCAAAUCUGUAUUUUUUCAUCACAUUCUCCAUGUGGUUUCUGGUUGCUUCCUGGUUGUUUGCUCCAUUCAUCUUUAAUCCGUCCAGCUUUGACUGGCAAAAAACUGUAGAUGAUUGGACUGAUUGGAAGAGGUGGAUGGGAAAUCGUGGUGGUAUUGGGAUCUCACCUGACAAAAGUUGGGAAUCAUGGUGGGAUGAAGAGCAGGAACACCUUAAGCACACUAUUAUCCGUGGAAGAAUUCUUGAGAUAAUGCUUGCAUUUCGCUUCUUCUUUUACCAAUAUGGGAUUGUUUACCACCUCGAUAUAGCUCAUUUCAGCAAGAGUUUACUGGUUUAUGGACUUUCUUGGGUGGUUAUGGUAACAGUGCUUCUCGUCUUAAAGAUGGUGUCAAUGGGUAGACGAAGAUUUGGCACCGACUUUCAGCUCAUGUUCAGAAUUCUGAAAGCACUUCUUUUCCUUGGUUUCAUGUCGGUCAUGACUGUACUAUUUGUUGUCUGUGGGCUUACUAUUUCAGAUCUGUUUGCCUCUAUCCUUGCCUUCUUGCCCACAGGGUGGGCACUUCUUCUUAUCGGGCAAGUAUGCAGGCCAAUGCUUAAGGGAGUAGGAUUCUGGGAAUCAAUCAAGGAGCUGGGAAGAGCAUAUGAUUAUAUAAUGGGAGUAGUAGUCUUCGCGCCUGUUGCCAUUUUGUCAUGGUUCCCAUUUGUCUCAGAGUUCCAAACACGGUUGCUCUUCAACCAAGCAUUCAGUCGAGGCCUACAAAUUUCUAUGAUUCUUGCCGGAAGGAAGGAUAAGACGACGGCUUCAAGCUAGGGAAUGAACUUAAGAUGCCAUGCACUGUGAAGUUCUUAUCAUCUCAGGUCAUGUCCACACUAGUUUAUUCAUGUGAAAUUCUAUAGCAUCAUAGGAGUUAGUUUUUAUGAGGCAGAUCAAGUAGAGUGACUUGUAUAUCUUUUUCUUGUAUUUUUCAUGUACAUCAUUAGGAUAGAAGCUCACUUGAUUCAUGAACUGCUAUUGAUUUUAGCUUUUGAUUUUAAAUUGAAAAUUUUGAAUAUUC
This is an RNA transcript of Fragaria vesca subsp. vesca, 6238 nucleotides long. It is a transcript of the gene named callose synthase 7-like, with no coding region annotated. Lineage: Eukaryota; Viridiplantae; Streptophyta; Magnoliopsida; Rosales; Rosaceae. The record is from RefSeq and is a predicted model, not a curated record. The transcript is spliced from 41 exons.